AAAAGCGAUCCCCCUCAGCCCCCCCCUGCCGCCCGUCCCGCUGAGGGGCUGAGAGAAACCCGAGAGAAGACAUCUUAAAAUGCAGUUGCAUGGGGUUUCCUUCAUGCCACGAGGAGGAAAAAAAUAAUAAUCCUAAUUUAGUUCCAGCUCCGUGGGCAGAUGAAGACAUUUCUGGUGUGCUCCCAUUUCUGGAGGUGCCCUGAAAGGAUGACUGUGUUGGCAGCACUCUUCCUGACUCCACUAAAUGCAAGGCUGCAGGAUUUUGCAUGCUGAGGAGUUAAACACGAAAAUGAAAAGGACCGGGGGAGGCUCUCGAGAUGUGCUUCCCGCACUCUCAGAGCUCCCCACCAGCCGCUAUCCCGCCGGCCUCGCCGUGCCGCUGCUUUUUGCCAACUGCAGCUUCGUUGCAGGCCACAGGAGCUUCACAAUUAAAUAAAGUCUUGCUUCAGGGGACACUGUACUAUAGUGGCUACAGGGCAAAGCUGAGACAUUUGCCUUGCCUUAAAACUGAUGUGUUUGAAAACUUCUCCUUCCCCGGUGAAUGUGAGGGGAAAAAAAUAGGUUUUAUCUGUUCAAGGUGAUAGCAUCUGGAAGCUGUAAUACAGGAAGGUGCAAAUUCUUUCUUUCUCCGUUCCAGAGCUAAAUUUAGAACAAAAAUCUGAAUGUACUGUUUACUUUUAUUAGCUAAAAGAGUAAGUGUAGCUUAUGUGAGAAACACUGAAAAAUCAGUAAUUUCCAGUCAGGCAACAAUAUUUGUGGAGCAGCAAAGUUUACUCAUUACUGCAAUAAUGGGUGCACACACCCUUGUGGCAAGGGUGAAAUUGCACAUCUUGUCAGAGAAAUCCAUACUGUUACGUACAGUAUCUCCAACGCGUGUCACAUUUCUUCUGGAACUCCUUGGCUGAGCAUCUCAGGCUCACAACCCACCCGAAGCAGUUUCUAAGGUACACUUCCAUAUAAGGUCUAUCACCCACCUGUUGUUUUUCAUUUUUCAAAGGGAGACAGGAGGACGAUGUAUUCUAAGCCCAUCUGCGGUUCCCCAUUCAUCAAGGGGGACAAGAGGACAAGGUAUACUAGGCUCUCCCUACCCUACCUAUCCGCCUCAGCUACUAUUGGUAUCUACCCACCUGGUCAGAAUGUUCUGAAAAAUAAAAUACUUGGCAUACUCUCUCUACC
Molecule: long non-coding RNA, 1176 nt
Filed under: Gallus gallus (chicken)
Lineage: Eukaryota; Metazoa; Chordata; Aves; Galliformes; Phasianidae
Description: lncRNA (ENSGALG00010005125.1)
Source: RNAcentral